UACGAAGGGGGCAAGCGUUGUUCGGAUUUACUGGGCGUAAAGGGCGCGUAGGCGGAACGACAAGUCAGAGGUGAAAGCCCUGGGCUCAACCCGGGAAUUGCCUUUGGGACUGCCGUUCUAGAGUUCGGAAGAGGAUGGCGGAAUACCCAGUGUAGAGGUGAAAUUCGUAGAUAUCGGGUAGAACACCGGUGGCGAAGGCGGCCAUCUGGUCCGACACUGACGCUGAGGCGCGAAAGCGUGGGGAGCAAACAGG
RNAcentral lists this ribosomal RNA (253 nucleotides) under uncultured bacterium. Its description in RNAcentral is "partial 16S ribosomal RNA". It matches the Rfam family "Bacterial small subunit ribosomal RNA", at positions 524 to 776 of the family's 1533-position model. The record is from RNAcentral.